This 1556-nucleotide ribosomal RNA is filed under the name Escherichia coli. RNAcentral's name for it is "bacterial SSU rRNA". It matches the Rfam family "Bacterial small subunit ribosomal RNA". The record is from RNAcentral. Lineage: Bacteria; Pseudomonadati; Pseudomonadota; Gammaproteobacteria; Enterobacterales; Enterobacteriaceae.
UUAAAGUGAAGAGUUUGAUCAUGGCUCAGAUUGAACGCUGGCGGCAGGCCUAACACAUGCAAGUCGAACGGUAACAGGAAGAAGCUUGCUUCUUUGCUGACGAGUGGCGGACGGGUGAGUAAUGUCUGGGAAACUGCCUGAUGGAGGGGGAUAACUACUGGAAACGGUAGCUAAUACCGCAUAACGUCGCAAGACCAAAGAGGGGGACCUUCGGGCCUCUUGCCAUCGGAUGUGCCCAGAUGGGAUUAGCUAGUAGGUGGGGUAACGGCUCACCUAGGCGACGAUCCCUAGCUGGUCUGAGAGGAUGACCAGCCACACUGGAACUGAGACACGGUCCAGACUCCUACGGGAGGCAGCAGUGGGGAAUAUUGCACAAUGGGCGCAAGCCUGAUGCAGCCAUGCCGCGUGUAUGAAGAAGGCCUUCGGGUUGUAAAGUACUUUCAGCGGGGAGGAAGGGAGUAAAGUUAAUACCUUUGCUCAUUGACGUUACCCGCAGAAGAAGCACCGGCUAACUCCGUGCCAGCAGCCGCGGUAAUACGGAGGGUGCAAGCGUUAAUCGGAAUUACUGGGCGUAAAGCGCACGCAGGCGGUUUGUUAAGUCAGAUGUGAAAUCCCCGGGCUCAACCUGGGAACUGCAUCUGAUACUGGCAAGCUUGAGUCUCGUAGAGGGGGGUAGAAUUCCAGGUGUAGCGGUGAAAUGCGUAGAGAUCUGGAGGAAUACCGGUGGCGAAGGCGGCCCCCUGGACGAAGACUGACGCUCAGGUGCGAAAGCGUGGGGAGCAAACAGGAUUAGAUACCCUGGUAGUCCACGCCGUAAACGAUGUCGACUUGGAGGUUGUGCCCUUGAGGCGUGGCUUCCGGAGCUAACGCGUUAAGUCGACCGCCUGGGGAGUACGGCCGCAAGGUUAAAACUCAAAUGAAUUGACGGGGGCCCGCACAAGCGGUGGAGCAUGUGGUUUAAUUCGAUGCAACGCGAAGAACCUUACCUGGUCUUGACAUCCACGGAAGUUUUCAGAGAUGAGAAUGUGCCUUCGGGAACCGUGAGACAGGUGCUGCAUGGCUGUCGUCAGCUCGUGUUGUGAAAUGUUGGGUUAAGUCCCGCAACGAGCGCAACCCUUAUCCUUUGUUGCCAGCGGUCCGGCCGGGAACUCAAAGGAGACUGCCAGUGAUAAACUGGAGGAAGGUGGGGAUGACGUCAAGUCAUCAUGGCCCUUACGACCAGGGCUACACACGUGCUACAAUGGCGCAUACAAAGAGAAGCGACCUCGCGAGAGCAAGCGGACCUCAUAAAGUGCGUCGUAGUCCGGAUUGGAGUCUGCAACUCGACUCCAUGAAGUCGGAAUCGCUAGUAAUCGUGGAUCAGAAUGCCACGGUGAAUACGUUCCCGGGCCUUGUACACACCGCCCGUCACACCAUGGGAGUGGGUUGCAAAAGAAGUAGGUAGCUUAACCUUCGGGAGGGCGCUUACCACUUUGUGAUUCAUGACUGGGGUGAAGUCGUAACAAGGUAACCGUAGGGGAACCUGCGGUUGGAUCACCUCCUUACCUUAAAGAAGC